GGUCCAGUGGUCUAGUGGGUAAGUUUACGACACCUUGCUUGACUGGCAGUUACAGGCCCCGGGUUCAAAUCCCGGCUGGACCC
RNAcentral lists this transfer RNA (83 nucleotides) under Cordyceps militaris CM01. RNAcentral's name for it is "tRNA-Ala (GGC) (tRNA-Ala-GGC-1-1)". It matches the Rfam family "tRNA". Rfam says of the family: Transfer RNA (tRNA) molecules are approximately 80 nucleotides in length. Lineage: Eukaryota; Fungi; Ascomycota; Sordariomycetes; Hypocreales; Cordycipitaceae. The record is from RNAcentral.